RNAcentral lists this long non-coding RNA (1080 nucleotides) under Vitis vinifera (wine grape). RNAcentral's name for it is "long non-coding RNA (VVIN_LNC007495)". Lineage: Eukaryota; Viridiplantae; Streptophyta; Magnoliopsida; Vitales; Vitaceae. The record is from RNAcentral.
UUUUACUUUUUCCAAACGUGGGGAACAAUCCUCACACAUGUUGCUUGAUAACACACGCAUUGCAUGCAAUUUAAUUGAUGUCUACCAUGUUCAUUCAACCUAUUAGCUUCCCUAGUAAUGAUGAAUAUGAACCGAAAUUUGGGUCACCUUUUGUGUCAUUUUCCCUAGUCCAUGGUAAUGGAAACAUUGGUUACCCACCCAUAUUCACUUGGAAAUAUGUACCUAUUAGGGAUUUGGUGACUGGACAAGGCAUUUACACUAAGUGUACAAGGCCAAUGUACUAAAAGUACAAGGGUGUACAAGGGUGUCUAUCUUACUUUUUCCAAACGUGGGUAACAAUCCUCACACAUGUUGCUUGAUAACACACGCAUUGCAUGCAAUUUAAUUGAUCUCUACCAUGUUCAUUCAACCUAUUAGCUUCCCUAGUAAUGAUGAAUAAGUUCCGAAAUUUGGGUCACCUUUUGUGUCAUUUUCCCUAGUCCAUGGUAAUGGAAACAUUGGUUACCCACCCAUAUUCACUUGGAAAUAUGUACCUAUUAGGGAUUUGGUGACUGGACAAGCCAUUUACACUAAGUGUACAAGGCAAAUGUACUAAAAGUACAAGGGUGUACAAGGGUGUGUAUCUUACUUUUUCCAAACGUGGGGAACAAUCCUCACACAUGUUGCUUGAUAACACACGCAUUGCAUGCAAUUUAAUUGAUGUCUACCAUGUUCAUUCAACCUAUUAGCUUCCCUAGUAAUGAUGAAUAAGUUCCGAAAUUUGGGUCACCUUUUGUGUCAUUUUCCCUAGUCCAUGGUAAUGGAAACAUUGGUUACCCACCCAUAUUCACUUGGAAAUAUGUUCCUAUUAGGGAUUUGGUGACUGGACAAGCCAUUUACACUAAGUGUACAAGGCAAAUGUACUAAAAGUACAAGGGUGUACAAGGGUGUGUAUCUUACUUUUUCCAAACGUGGGGAACAAUCCUCACACAUGUUGCUUGAUAACACACGCAUUGCAUGCAAUUUAAUUGAUGUCUACCAUGUUCAUUCAACCUAUUAGCUUCCCUAGUAAUGAUGAAUAAGUUCCGAAAUUUGGGUCAC